CCUACGGGCGACAGCAGUGAGGAAUAUUGGUCAAUGGGCGCGAGCCUGAACCAGCCAAGUAGCGUGAAGGAUGACUGCCCUACGGGUUGUAAACUUCUUUUGUCAGGGAACAAAGGCGGGGACUAGUCCCCGGAUGAGGGUACCUGAAGAAAAAGCAUCGGCUAACUCCGUGCCAGCAGCCGCGGUAAUACGGAGGAUGCGAGCGUUAUCCGGAUUUAUUGGGUUUAAAGGGUGCGCAGGCGGCCUGUUAAGUCAGCGGUAAAAGCCCGGGGCUCAACCCCGGCGAGCCGUUGAAACUGGCGGGCUGGAGUUGGAGAGAAGUACGCGGAAUGCGCGGUGUAGCGGUGAAAUGCUUAGAUAUCGCGCAGAACCCCGAUUGCGAAGGCAGCGUACCGGCUCCACACUGACGCUGAGGCACGAAAGCGUGGGUAUCGAACAGGAUUAGAUACCUGGGUAGUC
This 459-nucleotide ribosomal RNA is filed under the name uncultured bacterium. RNAcentral's name for it is "partial 16S ribosomal RNA". It matches the Rfam family "Bacterial small subunit ribosomal RNA", at positions 338 to 795 of the family's 1533-position model. The record is from RNAcentral.